Molecule: long non-coding RNA, 208 nt
Organism: Oncorhynchus masou masou (cherry salmon)
Lineage: Eukaryota; Metazoa; Chordata; Actinopteri; Salmoniformes; Salmonidae
Exons: 4
Source: RefSeq, a predicted model, not a curated record
CGCCUCUACACCAGCAUGUCUGACUGUCUUAUCAAGACCAUCCGCUCAGAGGGAUACUUCGGGAUGUACAGAGGGUCUGCGGUGAACCUAACCCUGGUCACGCCAGAGAAAGCCAUCAAGCUAGCAGCAAAUGACUUCUUCAGACAAUACCUCUCCAAGGAUGGUCAGAAGCUCACCCUGGUCAAGGAGAUGCUGGCGGGGUGUGGGG